This 433-nucleotide ribosomal RNA is filed under the name uncultured bacterium. RNAcentral describes it as "partial 16S ribosomal RNA". It matches the Rfam family "Bacterial small subunit ribosomal RNA", at positions 29 to 507 of the family's 1533-position model. The record is from RNAcentral.
AGCGAACGCUGGCGGCAGGCCUAACACAUGCAAGUCGAACGAACUCUUCGGAGUUAGUGGCGGACGGGUGAGUAACACGUAGGAACGUGCCUUUAGGUUCGGAAUAACUCAGGGAAACUUGUGCUAAUACCGAAUGUGCCCUUCGGGGGAAAGAUUUAUCGCCUUUAGAGCGGCCCGCGUCUGAUUAGCUAGUUGGUGAGGUAAAGGCUCACCAAGGCGACGAUCAGUAGCUGGUCUGAGAGGAUGAUCAGCCACAUUGGGACUGAGACACGGCCCAAACUCCUACGGGAGGCAGCAGUGGGGAAUCUUGCGCAAUGGGCGAAAGCCUGACGCAGCCAUGCCGCGUGAAUGAUGAAGGUCUUAGGAUUGUAAAAUUCUUUCACCGGGGACGAUAAUGACGGUACCCGGAGAAGAAGCCCCGGCUAACUUCGUG